This 607-nucleotide ribosomal RNA is filed under the name fungal endophyte. RNAcentral's name for it is "eukaryotic LSU rRNA". The stretch from base 220 to 373 matches the Rfam family "5.8S ribosomal RNA". Lineage: Eukaryota; Fungi. The record is from RNAcentral.
CAGCGGAGGGAUCAUUACCGAGUUUACAACUCCCAAACCCAAUGUGAACGUUACCAAACUGUUGCCUCGGCGGGAUCUCUGCCCCGGGUGCGUCGCAGCCCCGGACCAAGGCGCCCGCCGGAGGACCAACCUAAAACUCUUAUUGUAUACCCCCUCGCGGGUUUUUUUAUAAUCUGAGCCUUCUCGGCGCCUCUCGUAGGCGUUUCGAAAAUGAAUCAAAACUUUCAACAACGGAUCUCUUGGUUCUGGCAUCGAUGAAGAACGCAGCGAAAUGCGAUAAGUAAUGUGAAUUGCAGAAUUCAGUGAAUCAUCGAAUCUUUGAACGCACAUUGCGCCCGCCAGUAUUCUGGCGGGCAUGCCUGUCCGAGCGUCAUUUCAACCCUCGAACCCCUCCGGGGGGUCGGCGUUGGGGAUCGGCCCUCCCUUAGCGGGUGGCCGUCUCCGAAAUACAGUGGCGGUCUCGCCGCAGCCUCUCCUGCGCAGUAGUUUGCACACUCGCAUCGGGAGCGCGGCGCGUCCACAGCCGUUAAACACCCAACUUCUGAAAUGUUGACCUCGGAUCAGGUAGGAAUACCCGCUGAACUUAAGCAUAUCAAUAAGCGGAGGA